Long non-coding RNA from Neopelma chrysocephalum (saffron-crested tyrant-manakin), 557 nucleotides. RefSeq lists it as uncharacterized. The transcript has 3 exons. The record is from RefSeq and is a predicted model, not a curated record. Lineage: Eukaryota; Metazoa; Chordata; Aves; Passeriformes; Pipridae.
ACCAGCGCAGCAUCACGACCCCGCCGCCAUCUGCCCGCCCCCCCGGCACCGCCGCGCCUGCGCGUCAUGGGAGCGCUGAGGGAUCCUACGGGCCGGCGGGGAGGACAAAGUACCGGAAAGGCCCAGGGCGUGGGUUUUGUCCGCGCUUGCUUUUUCUUUGUUUUUGUUCCCUCCCCCCGACAAUAGCUGUAUUUUACAAUCCUAAGUCAGCUGUUGUUUUGGAGGUGGGUCACGAGGUGUGUGAGAUCGCAGCGGUUUAAGCAAACAACCUCAUUCUGGAAGCCCCAGUUGUUAAAAGGCGAAUGAGAUCUCUCAGGGCUCCAGGAAAGCGUGUUCCAGCCGAGCCUUGUGCCGAGAUGGCCCCUGAAGUGAGGAGAAACACCUUCACAGAAUCACAGGAUCAUUAGGGUUGGGAGGGACCUCUGGAAAUCUGCAGUUCAACCCCCUGCUAAGGCAGGGUCUCCUGGAAUAGGUGACACAGGAACACUUCCAGUUUACAGGCAUUGCUCCUUUUCCUGUUGCUGAGCACCACUUAAAAUGGUCUGGUACCAUCCUCU